RNAcentral lists this ribosomal RNA (585 nucleotides) under uncultured bacterium. RNAcentral's name for it is "bacterial SSU rRNA". It matches the Rfam family "Bacterial small subunit ribosomal RNA", at positions 32 to 614 of the family's 1533-position model. The record is from RNAcentral.
AACGCUGGCGGCAGGCCUAACACAUGCAAGUCGAACGGUAACAGGAUGUGCUUGCACAUCGCUGACGAGUGGCGGACGGGUGAGUAAUGCUUGGGAACUUGCCUUUGCGAGGGGGAUAACAGUUGGAAACGACUGCUAAUACCGCAUAAUGUCUUCGGACCAAACGGGGCUCCGGCUCCGGCGCAAAGAGAGGCCCAAGUGAGAUUAGCUAGUUGGUAAGGUAACGGCUUACCAAGGCGACGAUCUCUAGCUGUUCUGAGAGGAAGAUCAGCCACACUGGGACUGAGACACGGCCCAGACUCCUACGGGAGGCAGCAGUGGGGAAUAUUGCACAAUGGGGGAAACCCUGAUGCAGCCAUGCCGCGUGUGUGAAGAAGGCCUUCGGGUUGUAAAGCACUUUCAGUUGUGAGGAAAAGUUAGUAGUUAAUACCUGCUAGCCGUGACGUUAACAACAGAAGAAGCACCGGCUAACUCCGUGCCAGCAGCCGCGGUAAUACGGAGGGUGCGAGCGUUAAUCGGAAUUACUGGGCGUAAAGCGCACGCAGGCGGUUUGUUAAGCUAGAUGUGAAAGCCCCGGGCUCAACC